AUGGAGGACGUAUCUCUUGACAAAUUUCGUGAUGCCACUGAUACAGCUUUCCCACAGACAUGGCUGAAACUGUGGUUUGCGUCUAUCUGGAGUUCUAAUGCCAGUUACAUUAUCUUCAACACUUUCAAUUUUAAUGAAAAGAGGAGAAAUAGCAGCCCUGUAGGAUCAUUUCAAGGGGAUUCUCAUCCAAUAUAAAGACAAUAGCAGAAGACGCUGAUGUGUAAAUUGUGGCCAAGAGGAAGCAAAUGGAUGUAAAAUGCUGCUUGCAACUUUUGAUUCAGUUUGUUGUGAACAUCUUUGUCUGGAAAAAAAAUCAAGGUAAGAAGUAAAAUUUUUCAAGCCUAUUGGGUGUUUCCUACAUAUCUUGGAU
RNAcentral lists this long non-coding RNA (370 nucleotides) under Coturnix japonica (Japanese quail). Its description in RNAcentral is "lncRNA (ENSCJPG00005014675.1)". Lineage: Eukaryota; Metazoa; Chordata; Aves; Galliformes; Phasianidae. The record is from RNAcentral.